CCCUGGCUCAGGAUGAACGCUGGCGGCGUGCUUAACACAUGCAAGUCGAACGAUGACCCGGUGCUUGCACCGGUGAUUAGUGGCGAACGGGUGAGUAACACGUGAGUAACCUGCCCUUAACUCUGGGAUAAGCCUGGGAAACUGGGUCUAAUACCGGAUAUGACUCCUCAUCGCAUGGUGGGGGGUGGAAAGCUUUAUUGUGGUUUUGGAUGGACUCGCGGCCUAUCAGCUUGUUGGUGAGGUAAUGGCUCACCAAGGCGACGACGGGUAGCCGGCCUGAGAGGGUGACCGGCCACACUGGGACUGAGACACGGCCCAGACUCCUACGGGAGGCAGCAGUGGGGAAUAUUGCACAAUGGGCGCAAGCCUGAUGCAGCGACGCCGCGUGAGGGAUGACGGCCUUCGGGUUGUAAACCUCUUUCAGUAGGGAAGAAGCGAAAGUGACGGUACCUGCAGAAGAAGCGCCGGCU
This 470-nucleotide ribosomal RNA is filed under the name Micrococcineae bacterium CL5.135. RNAcentral's name for it is "bacterial SSU rRNA". It matches the Rfam family "Bacterial small subunit ribosomal RNA", at positions 17 to 498 of the family's 1533-position model. Lineage: Bacteria; Bacillati; Actinomycetota; Actinomycetes; Micrococcales. The record is from RNAcentral.